CUUGGUCAUUUAGAGGAAGUAAAAGUCGUAACAAGGUUUCCGUAGGUGAACCUGCGGAAGGAUCAUUCAUAAUAAGUGUUUUAUGGCACUUUUUUAAAUCCAUAUCCACCUUGUGUGCAAUGUCAGUCGAUCUUCUUUAUGGAGAUUGGCCAAACAUCAACCAUAUCUUUUAACUCUUUGUCUGAAAAAUAUUAUGAAUAAACAAUUCAAAAUACAACUUUCAACAACGGAUCUCUUGGCUCUCGCAUCGAUGAAGAACGCAGCGAAAUGCGAUACGUAAUGUGAAUUGCAGAAUUCAGUGAAUCAUCGAAUCUUUGAACGCAUAUUGCGCUCUUUGGUAUUCCGAAGAGCAUGCUUGUUUGAGUAUCAGUAAACACCUCAAAGCUUUUGAUUUUUUUUUGAAAGCUUUGGACUUGAGCAAUCCCAACACCAGUCUUUUUUAGAUCGGAGGCGGGUUGCUUGAAAUGCAGGUGCAGCUGGACAUUCUCCUGAGCUAAAAGCAUAUUCAUUUAGUCCCGUCAAACGGAUUAUUACUUUUGCUGCAGCUAACAUAAGGGAGUUUGACCGUAUUGGCUGACUGAUGCAGGAUUUCACAGGGGUCGGCAACGACGCUUGUUAAACUCGAUCUCAAAUCAAGUAAGACUACCCGCUGAACUUAAGCAUACCAAUAAGCGGAGGAAAAGAAACUAACAAGGAUUCCCCUAGUAACGGCGAGUGGAGCGGGAUGAGCUCAAAUUUAAAAUCUGGCUGGUUUACUAGUCCGAAUUGUAGUUUAUAGAAGCGUUUUCGGUGGCAGCCUGGGUAUAAAUCCUUUGGAAUAGGGUAUCAUAGAGGGUGAGAAUCCCGUCUUUGACUCAGUGCAUGCUACUAUGUGAUACGUUUUCAAAGAGUCGAGUUGUUUGGGAAU
This 907-nucleotide small RNA is filed under the name uncultured zygomycete. RNAcentral's name for it is "eukaryotic LSU rRNA". The stretch from base 623 to 907 matches the Rfam family "Eukaryotic large subunit ribosomal RNA", at positions 1 to 281 of the family's 3401-position model. The record is from RNAcentral. Lineage: Eukaryota; Fungi.